GUUACGUUUGGGGAAGUUGCUCAAUAUUGGAAAGGCACAUUUCCCUUCACUGUAAAGCCAAAUAUUCAUGUGCUGCUUAUCUGGUUUUAGCAGCGCUAUCUCCGCAGUUUCUUUACCUUUCAUGGGUUGAUGAUUUUGUCAACAUGACGGUCAGAUAAAACCAAAUUUGCAGAUAUCACCAGAAACUAUUUGUCGGGAUGAGUAGUUCUUUGACUUCCGCUACUUACAUUCGCAACAUCAGUUACGGUCUACGCCGCCAGUUAUCCGACUUUCUGGACCCUCAGGACAGGUGGAAGGAUGUGAUUGUGUCCAUACGGAAGCCGAGCGGGGAGCCGAGGUACUCCCAGCUUCACGUCAGGAGGUUUGAAGGUCUUGUGACGCAGGGGAAGAGUCCCACCGUGGAGCUGCUGAAUGACUGGGGAACCACCAACUGCACAGUGGGAGAACUGGUGGAUAUUUUGAAGAGCCGCAAUUUGUUGGCUGCUGCCAGUCUCCUGCAACCUUGGGAAGAAUAUUCAUCGGCAGAGACACUCCCGCUCCCCUUACCACUACGUCCUGACAGAGACCCUCCAACCAGGCCACUGGAUGAGACGCAGAGUCAGCCUCCAACCGCCGGAUCAGCACCGGAGACACAAGUACUGAGUGAAAACAGUGAAACAGGACACACAGGUAUUUCCAGUUUUAUGUACAGUGAGCUGAGGAAGAUCACGGGCAACUUUGACGACCGGUCCGUCUCAAACGGUGGCAGCCGACUCGGAGAGGGGGGCUUCGGCACCGUGUACAAAGGCUUCCUGAACAACAGACCCGUGGCAGUGAAAAAACUAAACCCAAUGGAUGACAUGCCUCUGGACAAGCUGCAAGAUCAAUUUAACCAAGAGAUUCAGACUCUGAAAGUGUUGAAACACGAGAACUUGGUUGACAUGGUUGGAUUCUCAUGCGACGAGCAGCAAAUGUGUAUAGUGUACGCCUUCAUGGCCAAUGGAUCUUUGCUGGAUCGACUCGCUUGCUUGGACGGUAGUCCUCCUCUUUCCUGGCGACAGAGGUGCUUAAUUGCAGAAGGGACCGCUAGAGGUUUGGAGUACCUCCAUAGCAACCAUCAUGUACACAGAGAUGUUAAAAGUGCAAACAUCCUGCUGGAUGAGAACUUUGUGGCAAAAAUCUCCGACUUUGGGCUGACGAGAGCGUCGGCCAAGCACACGUCUACGACGAUGAUGACGGAGAGGAUCGUGGGGACCCGUGCGUACAUGGCCCCUGAGGCCCUGCGGGGACAGAUCACCCCAAAAUCUGACGUGUUCAGCUUCGGAGUGGUGCUGUUAGAAAUAUUGUCUGGACGUCCGCCAGCUGAUGAAAACAAGGAGCCCCAGUUCCUGUCCGCUUUUCCCUUCUGGCCCGUCUUAGAUGGAUAUCAGGGACGACAUCGAUGAUGAAGACGAAGAUCUGACCCUGGAGCAGAUUUUGGACAGAGAGAUGACAGACUGGGAGCUGAGCCAGGUGGAGAGCAUCUACUGCUUGGCUUCCAACUGCUUGGAUGACAGAAAAAACAGGCGGCCAUUCAUCAAACAGGUUGUUUCAGAGAUUCACAGCGUCAUCAAAAGCAUCUCAUUGCAAUUGUAGGCACGGAGGGAAACAAGAGGCUCACAUUACCUCUGUUCCAAAGCAAAGACUGACAAGUCUUCUGCUUUUUGACUUUAGAAAGUUCCUUAUUGACUGCAAGAAAGAGAUUUAGCAUUAAAACAGCUUUCCCUUUUGUAUUUAUAUUCACGAAUAUUUGAAGAGGAGCACCAACAGGACAUCAGCUCUGCUACGCAGAUAUUUAGCCAUUAGCAUGCCAUAAGCCCAUCUUGCAGCAACAGCUCCAGUCAGAGGCAUCGCCAGAUUCGUUGCAAGACUGACUGCUACUGGAGAUCCUUCCCGUCCACAGCAUCACAUCCAUGACUUUUUAAAGAUACUUGGAGGAUAUGAGUUAGAAGAAAAGUGUGAGCACACAUUUUAAUACUUUUUUUAAAAAAUUUAUUUACAGGCUAAAUUUUUGUGUUGUAAAAAAAUAAAAGUUGUUUUAUUUUUGAAGAAAUAAAAAAAGGACCAAAAUUGUCUGAUUUAAAUAUUUUAUUUUUCAUCUUUAAAAGAAAGAUUUGUAAGAAAACAAAGAAGAACAAACAUUAUUCAUUUUCUCUAAUGACAAUGAAUAUAAAGGGAUUUUUUUUUUCCCCUUCACAUGAGGUGAACUAAGUAGUUUGCCAAAUAUUAAUCAGUAGACCAGUGGAUGAGGCAAUGUUUCCGUCAAGGUAGUAUUCCCUUUUCUAUCCGAUAAUAGCUUGGCAUUCCCUCCUCUGUGGGAACCAGGUUUUUAUUCGCUUCCUCUCGGUGAAAUGCGAGAUGUAUAAGAUAGAUGGAAUAUUUCUGGAAGCCCGGUCUUUCCACUGAAAUCCACACCGACAAUCACCAAAAACAGACCGCUUCUUAAUCAUAGAGCAUCACACAGCUACAAUAUGUACAUUUACAGCACUUGCAUAGAAAAAUAAGUUUCUCAGCAGAUGAUUUCUUUUUUUUUUUUUUCCCCCAUGUAAACCACAGUUAUAUCAAAAAGAAGAAAUUUUGUCUUUA
Xiphophorus couchianus (Monterrey platyfish) is the source of this 2604-nucleotide RNA transcript. It is a transcript of the gene named interleukin-1 receptor-associated kinase 4, with no coding region annotated. The transcript is spliced from 11 exons. The record is from RefSeq and is a predicted model, not a curated record. Lineage: Eukaryota; Metazoa; Chordata; Actinopteri; Cyprinodontiformes; Poeciliidae.